GCUCUACACUGCGUCAACUCUUGAACGGCUACAUCGAACAGGCUCAACUAUCAAUGUCGGGUAACGGCGCAAUCGGUUCGUCUGGAACUGUUCUCGCCUCUGGGUAUUUCCUAUUGAACUUUAUUGUUCAAUUCUUAUGUUUCAUAGUACCUACUGUAUGCUUUAUGUUCACUGCAAAUAAAAUGAUGGAUCAUGUUCCUGUUUACAUUAUCUUAUUUGUCAUGUUUUAUUCUAUAUUUUGGAUUAAAAUGAACCGUAAAAUGCCUCUGAUUCCAACAAUCCAAAAACUUGAAAGGGCUUUUUUGGUAGUUGGCUUUGCUGCACAAUUGAAACCGAAGACUCGGCAAAGCCUUCGCUGAGUGUUCCACUCGGCAAACGGCACUUGGCAAACAAAGACUUGGCAAAGCUUAUAUACUAUAACUCACGCACCCCGCCGCUGCCCCUCCCUUCCCUCCCUUUUCUGGCCCACUCCCUCCCUCUCC
This 482-nucleotide long non-coding RNA is filed under the name Setaria viridis. RNAcentral describes it as "long non-coding RNA (SVIR_LNC005629)". Lineage: Eukaryota; Viridiplantae; Streptophyta; Magnoliopsida; Poales; Poaceae. The record is from RNAcentral.